RNAcentral lists this ribosomal RNA (450 nucleotides) under uncultured bacterium. Its description in RNAcentral is "bacterial SSU rRNA". It matches the Rfam family "Bacterial small subunit ribosomal RNA", at positions 354 to 796 of the family's 1533-position model. The record is from RNAcentral.
GUGGGGAAUUUUGGACAAUGGGCGAAAGCCUGAUCCAGCAAUGCCGCGUGCAGGAUGAAGGCCUUCGGGUUGUAAACUGCUUUUGUACAGAACGAAACAGUCUCUCCUAAUACGGGGGGCGAAUGACGGUACUGUAAGAAUAAGCACCGGCUAACUACGUGCCAGCAGCCGCGGUAAUACGUAGGGUGCAAGCGUUAAUCGGAAUUACUGGGCGUAAAGCGUGCGCAGGCGGUUUUGUAAGACAGAUGUGAAAUCCCCGGGCUCAACCUGGGACCUGCAUUUGUGACUGCAAAGCUAGAGUACGGCAGAGGGGGAUGGAAUUCCGCGUGUAGCAGUGAAAUGCGUAGAUAUGCGGAGGAACACCGAUGGCGAAGGCAAUCCCCUGGGCCUGUACUGACGCUCAUGCACGAAAGCGUGGGGAGCAAACAGGAUUAGAAACCCCAGUAGUCC